GACGAACGCUGGCGGCGUGCCUAAUACAUGCAAGAAGAACGCUGAAGGAGGAGCUUGCUCUUCUGGAUGAGUUGCGAACGGGUGAGUAACGCGUAGGUAACCUGCCUGGUAGCGGGGGAUAACUAUUGGAAACGAUAGCUAAUACCGCAUAACAGUAGAUGUUGCAUGACAUUUGCUUAAAAGGUGCAAUUGCAUCACUACCAGAUGGACCUGCGUUGUAUUAGCUAGUUGGUGGGGUAACGGCUCACCAAGGCGACGAUACAUAGCCGACCUGAGAGGGUGAUCGGCCACACUGGGACUGAGACACGGCCCAGACUCCUACGGGAGGCAGCAGUAGGGAAUCUUCGGCAAUGGACGGAAGUCUGACCGAGCAACGCCGCGUGAGUGAAGAAGGUUUUCGGAUCGUAAAGCUCUGUUGUAAGAGAAGAACGAGUGUGAGAGUGGAAAGUUCACACUGUGACGGUAGCUUACCAGAAAGGGACGGCUAACUACGUG
Molecule: ribosomal RNA, 495 nt
Filed under: uncultured bacterium
Lineage: Bacteria
Description: partial 16S ribosomal RNA
Rfam family: Bacterial small subunit ribosomal RNA
Source: RNAcentral